AGAACAACAGGGAUUGCCCUAGUAACGGCGAGUGAAGCGGCAACAGCUCAAAUUUGAAAUCUGGCGUAAGCCCGAGUUGUAAUUUGUAGAGGAUGCUUCUGGGUAGCGGCCGGUCUAAGUUCCUUGGAACAGGACGUCAUAGAGGGUGAGAAUCCCGUAUGUGACUGGCUUGCACCCUCCACGUAGCUCCUUCGACGAGUCGAGUUGUUUGGGAAUGCAGCUCUAAAUGGGAGGUAAAUUUCUUCUAAAGCUAAAUACCGGCCAGAGACCGAUAGCGCACAAGUAGAGUGAUCGAAAGAUGAAAAGCACUUUGGAAAGAGAGUUAAAAAGCACGUGAAAUUGUUGAAAGGGAAGCGCCCGCAACCAGACUUUGCGGCGGUGUUCGGCUGGUCUUCUGACCGGUUUACUCGCCGCCGUGAGGCCAUCAUCGUCUGGGACCGCUGGAUAAGACCUGAGGAAUGUAGCUCCCUUCGGGGUGUGUUAUAGCCUCUGGUGAUGCAGCGCGUCUCGGGCGAGGUCCGCGCUUCGGCAAGGAUGAUGGCGUAAUGGUUGUCGGCGGCCCGUCUUGAAACACGGACCAAGGAGUCUAACAUCUAUGCGAGUGUUCGGGUGUCAAACCCCUACGCGUAAUGAAAGUGAACGGAGGUGGGAACUUUUUGUGCACCAUCGACCGAUCCUGAUGUCCUCGGAUGGAUUUGAGUAAGAGCAUAGCUGUUGGGACCCGAAAGAUGGUGAACUAUGCCUGAAUAGGGUGAAGCCAGAGGAAACUCUGGUGGAGGCUCGCAGCGGUUCUGACGUGCAAAUCGAUCGUCAAAUUUGGGUAUAGGGGCGAAAGACUAAUCGAACCAUCUAGUAGCUGGUUCCUGCG
RNAcentral lists this ribosomal RNA (868 nucleotides) under Pseudocercospora mombin. RNAcentral's name for it is "eukaryotic LSU rRNA". It matches the Rfam family "Eukaryotic large subunit ribosomal RNA", at positions 62 to 962 of the family's 3401-position model. The record is from RNAcentral. Lineage: Eukaryota; Fungi; Ascomycota; Dothideomycetes; Mycosphaerellales; Mycosphaerellaceae.